RNAcentral lists this ribosomal RNA (254 nucleotides) under uncultured bacterium. RNAcentral's name for it is "partial 16S ribosomal RNA". It matches the Rfam family "Bacterial small subunit ribosomal RNA", at positions 524 to 776 of the family's 1533-position model. The record is from RNAcentral.
UACGAAGGGGGCAAGCGUUAUUCGGAUUUAUUGGGCGUAAAGGGCGUGUAGGCGGCUUGGUAAGUCCGGUGUGAAAACGCUACCGCUCAACGGAGCGAAUGCGCUGGAUACUAUCAAACUUGAGUGCGAGAGAGGUGAGGAGAAUACCUGGUGUAGCGGUGGAAUGCUUAGAUAUCAGGUAGAAUACCCGAGGCGAAGGCGCCUCACUGGCUCGUUACUGACGCUAAGGCGCGAAAGCGUGGGGAUCAAACGGG